Molecule: microRNA precursor, 71 nt
Filed under: Mus pahari (shrew mouse)
Lineage: Eukaryota; Metazoa; Chordata; Mammalia; Rodentia; Muridae
Description: miRNA (MGP_PahariEiJ_G0007194.1)
Source: RNAcentral
AAUGGGCCGGGGGGGGGGGGGACGACAAGAGGCAAGGGACCCUACUGAGCCUAGCCUCUCUUCUUUCCCAG